This 541-nucleotide ribosomal RNA is filed under the name bacterium A5M_VP8_B2. RNAcentral describes it as "bacterial SSU rRNA". It matches the Rfam family "Bacterial small subunit ribosomal RNA", at positions 337 to 868 of the family's 1533-position model. The record is from RNAcentral.
UAAUACGGGAGGCAGCAGUAGGGAAUCUUCCGCAAUGGACGAAAGUCUGACGGAGCAACGCCGCGUGAGUGAUGAAGGCUUUCGGGUCGUAAAACUCUGUUGUUAGGGAAGAACAAGUGCUAGUUGAAUAAGCUGGCACCUUGACGGUACCUAACCAGAAAGCCACGGCUAACUACGUGCCAGCAGCCGCGGUAAUACGUAGGUGGCAAGCGUUAUCCGGAAUUAUUGGGCGUAAAGCGCGCGCAGGUGGUUUCUUAAGUCUGAUGUGAAAGCCCACGGCUCAACCGUGGAGGGUCAUUGGAAACUGGGAGACUUGAGUGCAGAAGAGGAAAGUGGAAUUCCAUGUGUAGCGGUGAAAUGCGUAGAGAUAUGGAGGAACACCAGUGGCGAAGGCGACUUUCUGGUCUGUAACUGACACUGAGGCGCGAAAGCGUGGGGAGCAAACAGGAUUAGAUACCCUGGUAGUCCACGCCGUAAACGAUGAGUGCUAAGUGUUAGAGGGUUUCCGCCCUUUAGUGCUGAAAUUAACCCAUUAAGCACU